RNAcentral lists this long non-coding RNA (835 nucleotides) under Homo sapiens (human). Its description in RNAcentral is "HSALNT0293945". The record is from RNAcentral. Lineage: Eukaryota; Metazoa; Chordata; Mammalia; Primates; Hominidae.
ACUUUCACAAGUGGAUGCCAAGUUCUUAGGUGUACAUCCGCAUCUAAUCAGAAGUAUAGAGUUUCAGCUGUUGGAGCCAAAUGUGUGAUCCCCCUCCAGAAAAGACUUGAGUCUUUACAGUUGGAAUUUCCGUGUCGUGAGUGACAGGAUCUUGGUCCAUCACCCAGGCUGGAAUACAGUGGUGCAAUUAUAGUUCACUGCGGCCUCAAAUUCCUGCACUCAACAGAUCCUCCCACCUCAGCCUCGCAACUGGCUGGGACUACAGGGAUGCACCACCACACCUGGCUAAUUUUUAACUCUUUCGUAGGAAUGAGGUCUUGCUGUGUUGCCCAGGCUGGUCUCGAACUCUGGGGGUCAAGAGAUCCUCCCAUCUCGGCCUUCCAAAGUGUUGGGAUUACAGGCACGCACCACCACACCUGGCUACAUGCCUAAUUUAACAUGAGCUAGAGUUAGGUUUGGCCAUCCCUAGUGUUCAGUGGAGUUGUAGAGUUAGUCUCAAAUGCCAGAGUGAAAGUCCUUGCCUAUCACUCCCUCAUGGGGAAACCAUGGAAAGGAAUUCAUAGAGUACUUAGAAAGGCAGUAAGUACAGGGACAGAUUUGGGUUUCAUGGGACUUGAAGACUACACAACUUCGGAAGCCCUCUUUAAUGAAAAGAAGAUAAAUCUUACUUUUGCAAGUUUUAUAUGAAUAUGUGACUAUGUGAACACAUUGCUCAGGUCCUCCCCUCGCCCGCACACAAGGUCUAGAAAAAGGCUUAUUAAAGUGAGACAUCCUGAAGCUUAAGCGUCACCAGCUUCAAGUUCAACCCACCUCUGAAUAAAUGCUUCAAAUAAAU